UAAAACCAGCACCUCAAGUGGUCAGGAUGAUUAUUGGGCCUAAAGCAUCCGUAGCCGGCUUUGUAAGUUUUCGGUUAAAUCCAUGUGCUCAACGCAUGGGCUGCCGAAAAUACUGCAUAGCUAGGGAGUGGAAGAGGUAGACGGUACUCAGUAGGUAGGGGUAAAAUCCUUUGAUCUAUUGAUGACCACCUGUGGCGAAGGCGGUCUACCAGAACACGUUCGACGGUGAGGGAUGAAAGCUGGGGGAGCAAACCGGAUUAGAUACCCGGGUAGUCCCAGCUGUAAACGAUGCAGACUCGAUGAUGCAUUGGCAUAAUAGCCAUUGCAGUGUCGCAGGGAAGCCGUUGAGUCUGCCGCCUGGGAAGUACGUACGCAAGUAUG
Molecule: ribosomal RNA, 381 nt
Filed under: uncultured Nitrososphaerota archaeon
Lineage: Archaea; Thermoproteati; Nitrososphaerota
Description: bacterial SSU rRNA
Rfam family: Archaeal small subunit ribosomal RNA
Source: RNAcentral